CAGGAAGGAAACAAGACGUGUGGUUUAGAGAACCAUGAGCGGGGACAGUGAGACUGUGCUAGGCAUCAGUGGUCGAAAUCAGUGGAUUGGUUUACGCUCCCUGUGAGCCACGUGAAGGUGGACGGGGAGUGCUGGAUUGGUUUACGCUCCCUGUGAGCAAUGUGAAGGCAGACGGGGAGUGCUGGAUUGGUUUACGCUCCCUGUGAGCAAUGUGAAGGCUGACGGGGAGUGCUGGAUUGGUUUACGCUCCCUGUGAGCCACGUGAAGGUGGACGGGGAGUGCUGGGUUGGUUUACGCUCCCUGUGAGCAAUGUGAAGGCAGACGGGGAGUGCUGGAUUGGUUUACACUCCCUGUGAGCCACGUGAAGGUGGACGGGGAGGGCUGGGUUGAUUUACAUUCCCUGCGAACAAUGUGAAGGUGGACGAGGAGUGCUGGGUUGGUUUACACUCCCUGUGAGCCACGCGAAGGUGGACGGGGAGUGCUGGAUUGGUUUACACUCCCUGUGAGCCACGUGAAGGUGGACGGGGGAGUGCUGGGUUGGUUUACACUCCCUCUGAGCAAUGCGAAGGUGGACGGGGAGGGCUGGGUUGAUUUACAUUCCCUGUGAACAAUGUGAAGGUGGACGGGGAGUGCUGCAUUGGUUUACGCACCCUGUGAGGCACGUGAAGGUGGACGGGGAGUGCUGGGUUGGUGUACACUCCCUGUGAGCAAUGUGAAGGUGGACGGGGAGUGCUGGAUUGGUUUAUGCUCCCUCUGAGCAAUGCAAAGGUCGACUUUUGAAAAACAUAAGGAGAUAUCUGUACCUUGCACCAAAUACAUAAGUAAUUUCCAGAUGGAAUAGAAAACUGUAUUUCCCCACCACCAACACAACCAAGCCUCACGAUAAAUCACAGAAAACAAAACGGACCGGGCGGGCAGGCCUCGGCCGGACGCAGAUGAGGCCACCUAAAGCACACCCUUGGCCAAGAUCUGCCCAGGGAGACCAUGGACACCGCAAGGCCUGGGUGUGAGAGAGUGUUCGUAGCGCGAGUCGCAGCUUGAGGAUGGCUGUCCUGCCUCCGCCUGCAACUGCUACAGACCCUUGUGCAGAGGACAGCCUGGGAGAGGGGCUGCAGCCAGGAGGCCUGGUCUGGAUGAUGCCCCAGCCAGUCAGGGAGACACUGGGCAUUUCUGUUCCUCGAUCACUGCUGUCGGAAUGGUCAAAGGAUCCAGAUCUGGCUGGCGCCCAGGGAGCAUUUGCUCUCAUCCAUGGUCGAGGGUAGGGGCUGUUGAUGAUGACUUUCUGGUGGAGAGUUGGCUGAAUCUUCCAAGAUGAAGUGAGCAUAUUCCCCACUGAGAACCCCUUGGCCAGGGCUCUGGCCACAGUCCGUGUGAGUAGGGCUCCCAGUGGGUCCUUGGAAGGUUGGUGUGUGGUCCCAGCUGUGCUCUUCCACACGGGGUGGGUCCGAGGAGCCGAGUGCCUUACGGUGACG
Molecule: long non-coding RNA, 1472 nt
Filed under: Homo sapiens (human)
Lineage: Eukaryota; Metazoa; Chordata; Mammalia; Primates; Hominidae
Description: non-protein coding lnc-SPATC1L-4:3
Source: RNAcentral